This 445-nucleotide ribosomal RNA is filed under the name uncultured bacterium. RNAcentral describes it as "partial 16S ribosomal RNA". It matches the Rfam family "Bacterial small subunit ribosomal RNA", at positions 354 to 796 of the family's 1533-position model. The record is from RNAcentral.
GUGAGGAAUAUUGGACAAUGGAUGGAAAUCUGAUCCAGCCAUGCCGCGUGCAGGAAGACGGCCCUAUGGGUUGUAAACUGCUUUUAUACGGGAGCAAUAAGUUCUAUGCAUAGAUUGAUGAGAGUACCGUAUGAAUAAGCAUCGGCUAACUCCGUGCCAGCAGCCGCGGUAAUACGGAGGAUGCGAGCGUUAUCCGGAUUUAUUGGGUUUAAAGGGUGCGUAGGCGGCUUUGUAAGUCAGCGGUGAAAUUUUGCAGCUUAACUGUAAAAGCGCCGUUGAUACUGUGAAGCUAGGAUUUGGUUGCUGUGGGCGGAAUGUGUGGUGUAGCGGUGAAAUGCAUAGAGAUCACACAGAAUAUCGAUUGCGAAGGCAGCUCACAAAGCCAAUAUUGACGCUGAGGCACGAAAGUGUGGGGAUCAAACAGGAUUAGAAACCCGGGUAGUCC